CUCUUUUUAUAUUGCCGACUCUUUUCGCUCUCUUCACUCAAACUCUCAAGCAAUCUAAACCCUUCUUCUUGUUCUCUCUUUUCUCUCUCAAAGUUUGUGUAAAGAUGAAGAUGGGUUCUUGCGUUUUGAAAGUUUUCUUGAUCUUGGGUCUCUUGGCCGCUUCUUGCAUGGCACAGGCACCUGGUGCUUCACCAACUCCGGCACCAAAAGCAGCACCAACACCAGCGCCAAAAGCAGCACCAACUCCAUCACCAACAGCUCCGCCAACCCCAUCACCAACACCAACGUCAGCGCCUGCUCCAUCGUCUCCAGCUCCUACACCAUCUCCAAAGAAUGCUCCAACUCCUUCACCAGUUUCUCCUCCAUCUCCUGCCCCAUCUUCCCCUACCUCCUCUCCCCCUGCACCAGCAACCCCUUCACCCUCUUCUUCUCCUUCACAGACUCCAGCUUCUCAACCUCCACCCAGUGGCAACUUCGCUGCUGCUAGGUUUGAUAGAGUUAUCCUCGCUGGAACUGUAAUUGCAGGAACCUUCUUGGCCUUUACUUUGGCUUAGGAAGAGGUUUGAACUUUCAUCAUCGGCAUAAUUUAGAUCAUUUCGAUUCAUGGAGCUGGGGGUUGAUGAGAUCUGUUAUUCUGUCAUUUGUUGGUCGACUAUUAGUGGUGGUUCUUUAUUUCUUUCUUUCUUAUCAAUACAUGUUUUUUUUUUUUUAAUUUUCAUUUUUUUCCUUCAUGUGAUUGCUUUCUCAAUUGGAUUUUGGGACGGUGAUUAUUUGGGCAUGGUGAUGUGAUUACACGUGUACGAUCUGAUGAUGGGAUGAGAGGAUGAUUAUUGUAGAAAUGGGUAUGAUGUACAUCAAAUAAAACAGUUUGCUAUUCUUUUCAAAAACAAAAAAAAAAAAAAAAAAAA
RNAcentral lists this unclassified non-coding RNA (908 nucleotides) under Hevea brasiliensis (rubber tree). Lineage: Eukaryota; Viridiplantae; Streptophyta; Magnoliopsida; Malpighiales; Euphorbiaceae. The record is from RNAcentral.